RNAcentral lists this long non-coding RNA (6277 nucleotides) under Canis lupus familiaris (dog). Its description in RNAcentral is "lncRNA (ENSCAFG00000058290.1)". Lineage: Eukaryota; Metazoa; Chordata; Mammalia; Carnivora; Canidae. The record is from RNAcentral.
UUUUUUUUUUUUUUUGCUUUAAUAGAAAUGUGCCUUAGUGUUAGAGAAUUGGGUUAUUAGCUAAAGUGAGAUAAAUAUUUAUAGUUAGCUCUUUAGAAGAGCUUUCCCUAAAUUUAACAUCUUUCUUUAAAUCUAGGUACUCAGAAUAUGCAGUUGUCAAAUAGCAUUUAGUAAAAUCUUGCCCGUGGAAUAUCACCACCCCAGCCCAUUAUAUUAAUGUCUAUUUAAAUAAAACUCAAAAUUAUACAGGAAUCUCUUACCCCCUGCUAUUACGCUUACUCAGAUCUAAUUUGCUUCUUCCUUAAGGCUAAAGUGAUCAAAUAUUUCCUCUUUUACUAAGAUGCUCAAUUCUUUUUAAAAGCUCUGUCUUCUGGUCCUAAGAAAGAUCCUUAGAACUACUAAAACAUCUUAUUUUUCUGGCAGUAGGGAAAAAAAAAAAAAAAAAAAACACCCAUCCUGGAACCCUUUGAAAGGUUCCUGAAUGUUCAAAUUAGGGGACUUUUUUUUUUCUCUCCUUGUAAUUACGGCUGCCAAUCCAUACAUAUCCCAUUAGCCAGCUCAGGCUCAGCUCCAGGAAUCUUACAGAAAUAGAACCAUCCUGGAGUGACCCUUUUCUAGGAAAUGAAGGAAUCUGCCAUGUGUUCUACUCCUUCCAUUUUUGGCCUCUCUGGCCCUCAGAGAUUUCCCUGGGAGCCAUUCCCAGGUCGGCCUUCUCUUCCAAAGCCCUCCCUCCUCCCUUCACCUAAUUCCAGCCUCGCCUCACAUCCUGGACUGUAAUGCUUCCAGCAGACAAGCUUUUCUAUCUCAUAAUUUACUGGCCCGUAGGAAAAAGGUCCCAAGAAGGCAAGGCAAUUGGACCACAGUCUCUUAACAUAAGCUACCAUUGGGCCAACUAACCUACGUUUCCCGGCCAGCAGUUUAAUGCAAGUAUUUGUCUUUGGAAGCCUAUAAUCACCUGUGUCAACCGUGGUGGCUCCACUGUCUAAAUAACUCAAACUUAACAGCAUGCUCUUUGAGGGUCACCAAGUGGGAACUGUAGAGAUACACAGCAGGCAAAAUGGUAUAAAAUAUGUAUCUGAUUAAGCUCCAAAGGGAUCCGGAGGAGAGUUAGUUGAUGAAGUUUACUCCUUAAUACAGGAAAACAUGUGCUUGCUGGAUUCAGGGCUGAUUACUCCCUUAAAAUGAUAAUUCUUAUUUCAGGGUUUCUUUAAAAUAUUUAGUGUUCCGGGGCACCUGGCUGGCUCAGUCGGUUAAGCGUCUGUCUUGUGAUUUGGGCUCAGACCAUGAUCUCAGGGUUGUGCUCCUCACUCAGUGGAGAAUCUGCUUGAGAUUCUCUCUUUCUCUCCCUCUGCCUUUCCCUGUCCCCCCUCCCCGUCCCCUUCUAAAUAAAACAAAAUUAGUUUUCCUGAGUGUGCGUGUGUUUACAAAGCACUAAAUAUUCUUUAUGCUCUUUACUUUUCCACUAUGUCCCUUUUCCAUGGAUAGAAAAUGCAAUCCUGAUAAGAGGGGGUAAAUCCAACUAACAAAGAACCUUCCUAUGCAUCUCUUCUCCCUUUCUCCCUUGCCCCUACCCCUGGCCUUCUGAGGUACAGCUGGCGUAUUCACAACCACGAUGACCUAAAGGAUCCAGAUACUGCAGGUGGUUAAGACUAAUUCCCCCGGGGACCAGACCAUUAUGCACCAAGUGUUUACCACAGGAGUCCAUUCUGACUGGACAGCUUGUCUAUUCUUUUAUUUUUUCCCAAGAUUUUAUUUAUUUAUUCAUGAGACCCAGAGAGAGAGGCAGAGACUCAGGCAGCGGGACAAUCAGGCUCCAUGCAGGGAGCCCGAUGCGGAACUCAAUCCCAGGACCUCGGGAUCACACCCUGAGCUGAAGGCAGAUGCUCAACCACUGAGCCACCCACGGGCCCUGAGAAAUUCAUUUAAAUAUAAAAAAAGACAAAACAAUGGGGUCAACUCCACAAAUAUUCCACUGUUUUAUAUCAUUAGAAUCAAUUUGAUUAAAGUCCUAACAUAAUGUGUAUUUUCUUCUUCAUGUCAGCUGAUUUUGUAAAUCUGUUGUUUCAAAAUGCACUUCAUAGGUCCCACUUGUUUGAGUAUUUGGCUCUUUCCUUUCUUUUUCCUUGAAUGCAAUUGAUGACAAAUGUUUAGCGUGGUUAGGUCAUUGGUUAGAUAGCACAUAGGAUGUCCUGAAUUGCUUAGUACUGAAUCAGAACACUGAUUUUCUCCCCGUCACACCUGGCAACUGUUAGGCAUCUCCCAAGUCUUUAGGGUAUUUCAGAACACGGUGUUCUUGGAGGUUUCAAAACAUGACCAGUACCUCCUUCUCAGCCACUUACGGACAAUCUCAUUGAUUCCUCCUUAGCUCAUCACAAUCGGUUCUGAGUUUCCUUUUCAGAGAUGUUGAAAGUAACUAGGAUCCUCACCCAUGUUCUAAUUCUCGUGACCACUGUCUGCCACUGAAUUCAUGGAGUGUGUCGGUGGGAGGCCAAACACUUGGACUGGGCUCCGAGCAGAACCUGUCGGUGCAGCUGAAGAAGGCCGAGAAGCAGGAAGAGCAAGACUUCAUUUGAGGAGAGAGGUUCUAAGGGUGAGGCUAUCUGGUGUAAUUGCCCAAGACAGGAUUUAUUAGGCAUGUUUUACAAAUAUUUUAUGAGAAAACAUUUGUGUAGAAGUAAUGAUGCCCUUUAGGAAGUGUCAUUAGGACACACUCUGGCAAAUCGGGGGUGAUUAAAAAGCACUUAGUGGCUCCAAGCCUCUGGUGAGCUGUGCUAGCAAAGGGAGGGUAUGAUGCACACUGCGUGUGCUGUUUGCUUCUCUGGUCAGGGCUCUCAUGCUCUUCAUGGAGCCGAGGCUAGAAGGUUGCAUAUGAGAAGGCCAGGGAAGCUCCCACGAAGCUAAGAACCUUAGAAAUUUGUCAGCUAACUGCAUCUGGUGGGAAAUGCUAAAGAAUGGAAUAGGUGGAAAAUGGGCAAUGCAGUACACAGGGAGACCUGCCAGAAAUCAGCCCCAUAAAACACCAGGUGAAACUGUUUACUGAAGCACCAUGGAGAGAUGAGAUGAGGUUGUGGCCAAAAGCCCAGGCUUUAGAAUCAAACUGACUGGCUCUGAAUCCUGCUUGUCCCACUAAAUGGCUGUGUGACCUUGAGCAAGUUAGUGAACCUCUCUGCUCUUCAUUCGUAAAAUGGUGAAAAUCAUCUCUCAGCUUGCUUUAAUAAUUCACUGAAUUAUUUGUGUAAAGUGCCUAGAGCAAAGUAAAGAACUUCAUCGGUCACUAUGUAUUUGGUAGGGAGUACAGUCACAUCGUCUGGUAUUUGGUGACUCUUGAGGUAGGGCUAGCAUUGACAACUGAAAUGCUCUCUUUUCCAUGAAGUCUUCCAUGAUUACCAAUGGCAUGAAAUAAUCUCCCCUCAAAUCCUGAAACGUCUUCAGCCCUCACGCAUCUUCUUUCUCCCUUCGCAAAUGACGGCACUUCCCAAGUGCAGUCAGAGGACCUCACCUCCUUCUGCAGCACUGUAUCUGCUCCAGGCUCCAGCGGUCACCUCUCUGCUCUGACUCUCAAAUCUUGGUCUUCCACUCAAUCUCGCUCUCAUUCCAAACCACAUUCCCUGAUCCUUGAUCACUGUCACCUCCCAGGGCCUCUCAGAUGAGCCGGGAACCCAAUCUGGUCCCUCAGUUUGUCCCCAACAAGAUGCCUUUUCCUCCUCCAUGAACUUGCUGACAUCACCACCCUCCCCUCUUCAGCAGUCCAUUCCUUUCAAGCACCUAUAGAAGCCCUCUCAGCACUUUCCCAUUCUGACCACCAGCAUCCUGUUGAAAGCUGCGUAGUGGCUGUACACAGUUUUCUCUUACAGUUAUUGACUAUUCUGUUCUAGGCACUGGGGCACUGGGUUCCGUGCUGGGUAGCUGAGCUGACUCAAAUCAGUGGCCAACACUUUUGAACAUUUUUAUGAAUUUGUCAGUAGUCCUUUGGGGGCAGUGUUACUUUUCAAAUUUUGCAGUACUAGUUAAACUGAGUUUUUUUGGGUAAAAUUAAAGGGUACCUUAUACAAAUAAUCUUAUGCAUUACGACAACGGAUAGCCCAGGUCAUGUCAAAUACUUUGACUAAUAAUUUGCAGAUCACUUGGAGGGGAGUAUGUUAUUUGAAGAAUGAAGAAAAGUGGACUACGUCCUAUACAAAAGCUUCUGCACAGCAAAAGAAACCAUCAAGAAAAUGAGAAGGUGGGUAGCCCGGGUGGCCCAGCGGUUUAGUGCUGCCUUCAGCUCAGGGCCUGAUCCUGGAGUCCCAGGAUUGAGUCCCAUGUCGGACUCCCUCUGCCUGUGUCUCUGCCUCUCUCUGUGUCUCUCAUGAAUAAAUAAAUAAAAUCUUUAAUAAAAAAAAAAAGAAAAAGAAAAUGAGAAGGUAACCUACCGAAUGGGAGAAAAUAUUUGCAAAUCAUAUAUCUGAUAAGAGGCUAAUACACAAAACAUAUAAAGACCUCAUACAACUCAAUGGCAAAACAAAGCAAAACGAAACAAAAAAACAAAAAACGGACAAAAAAUGGGUAGGAUCUGAAUAGACAUUUUUCCAAAGAAGAUAUACAGAUGCCCACCAAAAACAUGACAAUAUCACCAAUUAUCAGGAAAACAGCAAUCAAAUCUCCAAAGAAGUAUCAUUAAAAAAAAAAAAAGAAAAGAAAAGGCAAGAAAUAACAAGCGCGAGGACAUGGAGAAGAAGGGAACACUUGCACGCUGUUGGUGGGAAUGCAAACUGGUGCUGCCAUUGUGGGAAACAGCAUGGAGGUUCCUCAAAAAAUUAAAAAUAGAACUACCAUAUGAUCCAGCAAUUCCAUUUCUGGGUAUUCAUAAAAAAAAAUAAACAAACAACUCAUUUCAAAAUAAAUCUGCACUCCAGGUUCAUGCAGCAUUAUUUACAAUAGCCAAGAGAAGGAAUCAACCGAAGUGUCUGUCAGUGGGCCUAUGGGUAAAGAAAAUGUAUAUACAUACAUUCAUAUAAUGGAACACUAUUCAGUCAUUAAAAAAAAAACACUGAAAUCUUGCCACUUGAGACAUCAUGGCUGGAACUUGAGGAUAUUACGCUAAAUGAAAUGUCAGGCAGAGAAAGACAUAUGCUGUAUGAUUUUACUUAAAUGUGGAAUAAAAAAAAAUCAAAACUAAGCUCAUAAAUAUAGAGAACAGAUUGGUGAGUCGCCAGAGGCAAGGAAUGGGGAGUGAACAAAAUGGGUGAGGGGGUCAACAGCUACAAACUUUCAGUUACAAAUUAAAUAAGUCCUGGGGAUCUAAUGCACUAUAGAUAGGAUAGAGACUACUAGCCUGCAUAUUUGAAAGUUGCUAAGAGAGUCAAUCUAUUUUUUACAAACUUUUUUCCCCUUUCUUUUGGCUAGGAGAGUAAAUCUUAAAAAUUCUCAUCACACACACACAAAUUCUUUUUACUAGGUAUGGUGACUGAUGUUAACAAGAAUUAUUGGUAUUAUUGGUAUAUGGUGAUCAUUUUGCAAUAUAUGAUAAUUAUAUAAUGAAUCAUUAUAUUGUACAUGUGAAACUAAUACAAUGUUAUGUCAAUUAUAUCUCAAUUUUUUUAAAAAGGGAAAUCCAAUAGGAGAGGCUUCAUAAUUAUUAAAAGGACUAAUGGUAGGAGCAUGUACUAAAGCUGACUUGAGGGAUUGUUAAUUUUCCUCAGCUUCAGGAUGUGUGCAGGGGUUUAAGUGCUACUAAGAAGGCAAGAAACAGAACUAAUUCAAAAGCCCAAUCAUAAGGACUGGUGGGAUGUGCACAGAAAUGAGAUUAGAUCAAGAGAAAAAACAGGAUUUCCCGAAGAGCUCUGGAUGAUGUGUUUAUUCCCACCUCCAUACUCAAUCUAUUACCACCUAUUGAUUUAUUUUUUUCCCAGAUCACCAAACACUAACACACACUAUUUUAAUUAUUUGUUUAUUGUCUGCCUCUUGCCAUCUACGCUUUUUUUUUUCUUUUUUCUUUUUCCAAAUUAAAGAUCUUUGUGUAUGUGUUCACUGCCUAGGACUGCACCUAGCACAUGUCCAAUAUUCAAUAACAUUUUGGGUCAACAAAUAAAUUGGGGGUAGGAAUUCCCUUCCAGUGGACUUCUUUUAUAAGCAAUACUGUUUCUAAAGCUUUUCUACAAAGGAUGAAGUUAACAAAUAACUUCGGGGGGGGGGGGGAAGCUCUGCCACUUUAAGAGCAAAAUCUUCCAAAUAACAUGUUUCUUGAAGACUACCUGUUUGUGGAGGGGGAAAAAAAAAGGAGAGAGAUGCCAUGUAC